This 435-nucleotide ribosomal RNA is filed under the name uncultured bacterium. Its description in RNAcentral is "partial 16S ribosomal RNA". It matches the Rfam family "Bacterial small subunit ribosomal RNA", at positions 29 to 507 of the family's 1533-position model. The record is from RNAcentral.
AGCGAACGCUGGCGGCAGGCUUAACACAUGCAAGUCGAGCGGGCAUCUUCGGAUGUCAGCGGCAGACGGGUGAGUAACACGUGGGAACGUACCCUUCGGUUCGGAACAACUCUGGGAAACUGGAGCUAAUACCGGAUACGCCCUUAUGGGGAAAGGUUUACUGCCGUAGGAUCGGCCCGCGUCUGAUUAGCUAGUUGGUGGGGUAACGGCCUACCAAGGCGACGAUCAGUAGCUGGUCUGAGAGGAUGAUCAGCCACACUGGGACUGAGACACGGCCCAGACUCCUACGGGAGGCAGCAGUGGGGAAUAUUGGACAAUGGGCGCAAGCCUGAUCCAGCCAUGCCGCGUGAGUGAUGAAGGCCUUAGGGUUGUAAAGCUCUUUUGUCCGGGACGAUAAUGACGGUACCGGAAGAAUAAGCCCCGGCUAACUUCGUG